This 1609-nucleotide long non-coding RNA is filed under the name Anser cygnoides (Swan goose). RNAcentral describes it as "lncRNA (ENSACDG00005011210.1)". The record is from RNAcentral. Lineage: Eukaryota; Metazoa; Chordata; Aves; Anseriformes; Anatidae.
AACCAGCAGGCUGGUGAUCUCCUCGCGUCGGCCCUGUUCAGCAGUUCCUGCGUCCCCGCUUGGCUGCCUCCGCUCGUGGGCCUCCACUCCUGGGCCUCCGCUUGGGUGCCUCCGUUCAGGGAUUCCCCGUUUGGCAAGCAACCCCCAUGGGGUGAAGGUGGCGAGAGCAGAGCUGGAAGUGGGCCAGGAGAGCAGCUGCUUGAGCAGCAGCUCAAAUGGGGCUCGUGGACAUCUCCCCACCUACUGCACGGCCCUGUCGCCAGCUGGAUCCUCUGGAAAAUCCCUCAGAAAAAAGUUUUUUUGACACAAGGCUUCGCACUUCACACAGCAGGAGAGCGCGCAGUGCUCCCAUCAGCAGGACACAGGUACGGGGCUGGGGGGGGGGUUCAGGCUUGGAAAUGGGGGGAGAAUGAAUUGCAAGGGGAAAAAAUGAGUUGCAGGGUGGAAAAAAAUGAUUUGCAGGAUGGAAAAAGUGAAUUGCAAGGGGAAAAAAUGAGUUGCAGGGUGAAAAAAAUGAAUUGUAGUGAAAAACUCAGUUGUAAAGGAGGGAAAAUCAAGCGGGGGAGAAUCAAUUGCAGGGGGGAAAAAAAUUGCAAGUGGAAAAAAUAAAUUGCAAAGGGGGGAAUUAAUUGCAGGGGGAAAAGCUAAUUAGAGGGGAAAAAUUAAUUGCAGGGGGGAAUUAAUUGCUUGGGGGGGGGAAAUUGCAGGGGGAAAACUCUAAUUGCAAGAGGAAAACUCUAAUUGCAGGGGGAGAAUUGUGAUUGCAGGGGGGGUAUUUAAUUCCCCCCACAAAUUGGGGGUGAUGUUUUUUUUCUGUGUUUUGGUUUCUUAUGCCACAUGGGCAUUUAGUUUUUUUCUCAUCCAGGGUUGCCACUCUGAUGGUGCGCGACUGCUGGUUGCGCAACUUUCCAGUUGUCCCAAUUGACUUUGAGCCAUGGUUUUUCUGUUGGCAUAUUUGGUGUCAGAAUUAUCGUCUAAAAUGAUUUCUAUUUCGGUGCAUGGGGAAGGGAAAAGAAGAGAAGAGAAAAAAGAAAAAUAGAGAAGAGAAGGAACUCCUGAGCUGAGGCAGGGGAAGUUUAGGCUGGACAUCAGGAAGAGGCUCUUCACAGAGAGGGUGGUCGCACACUGGAACAGGCUCCCCAGUGAAGUACUCACUGCACCAAGCCUGUCUGAAUUUAAGAAGCGUUUGGACUGUGCACUUAGUCACAUGGUCUAAAAUUUUGGGUAGACCUGUGUGGUGCCAGGAGUUGGACUUGAUGAUCCUUAUGGGUCCCUUCCAGCUCGGGAUAUUCUGCGAGUCUAUGAUUCUAAAAAUGUUCCCCGCAGCUGCAGCAGCCGGUGCUUUAGCACCUUUUCAGAAACUCAUCCACGACAAUAUGUAACAGAUCAACACCUCGUUUUGUUUUAUGUCUUUGUUUAAUUUUUAAGCCAUCAAACCCCAGAACAACCAGGCCUCUCUGUUCGCAGCUCUUCCUGAGUCUGGCCUUUUGAAUUUUCUUGCUUUCUCUUGGACUCUUGGCUUUAUCUUUUAAAUAACCCCCAAGAGAGAUUCUUUUCAUACUAAAGCACUUUGCAGCAGCAAGACAUCCAAGCCAGGAUGAAAUUUUCU